RNAcentral lists this ribosomal RNA (640 nucleotides) under uncultured fungus. Its description in RNAcentral is "eukaryotic LSU rRNA". The stretch from base 231 to 384 matches the Rfam family "5.8S ribosomal RNA". The record is from RNAcentral. Lineage: Eukaryota; Fungi.
GAAGUAAAAGUCGUAACAAGGUUUCCGUAGGUGAACCUGCGGAAGGAUCAUUAAUGAUUGCGAAUGGUCACCUUCAGUGCUGGCUCGCAAGAGCAAGUGCACGUCGGUGGCUUUCAUCCAAUUCCACACCCUGUGAACCUUUGGCCUCUUGCGAGCUUCGGCUGGCAGAGGAUUUUACAUAUACUCGAAUGUAAUGAAAACUAUUGUUGUGCGCAAGCACUAUUAUAUACAACUUUCAACAACGGAUCUCUUGGCUCUCGCAUCGAUGAAGAACGCAGCGAAAUGCGAUAAGUAAUGUGAAUUGCAGAAUUCAGUGAAUCAUCGAAUCUUUGAACGCACCUUGCACCCUUUGGAAUUCCGAAGGGUAUGCUCGUUUGAGUGUCAUUGUACUCUCACACUCUCCGAUCCUGUGGAUUUGGGGAGCGGUGGACUUGGGUGCUUGCUGCUUUUCUUGUGGCUCACCUCAAAUGCGUCAGUGCAUCUCUUGGUUGGACAUAGUACGGCGUGAUAAGUGUCUUCGCCGGCGCCUCAUCAUAAGAGGGUGGCCAAUUGGGAGCUCUGUGCUUUCCAACCGUCUUCGGACACUCUCUGACAACUUGACCUCAAAUCGAGUAGGACUACCCGCUGAACUUAAGCAUAU